Molecule: ribosomal RNA, 439 nt
Filed under: uncultured bacterium
Lineage: Bacteria
Description: partial 16S ribosomal RNA
Rfam family: Bacterial small subunit ribosomal RNA
Source: RNAcentral
CCACGGGGUGCUGCAGUGGGGGAUAUUGCACAAUGGGCGAAAGCCUGAUGCAGCAACGCCGCGUGAAGGAAGACGGUUUUCGGAUUGUAAACUUCUAUCAGCAGGGAAGAAAAUGACUGUACCUGACUAAGAAGCCCCGGCUAACUACGUGCCAGCAGCCGCGGUAAUACGUAGGGGGCAAGCGUUAUCCGGAAUUACUGGGUGUAAAGGGUACGUAGGCGGCUGAUCAAGUCAGAUGUGAAAGCCCGGAGCUCAACUCCGGGACUGCAUUUGAAACUGGUCGGCUAGAGUGCAGGAGAGGAAAGUGGAAUUCCUAGUGUAGCGGUGAAAUGCGUAGAUAUUAGGAAGAACACCAGUGGCGAAGGCGGCUUUCUGGACUGUAACUGACGCUGAGGUACGAAAGCGUGGGAAGCGAACAGGAUUAGAUACCCUAGUAGUC